CGGCCCAUCAGCUAGUUGGUGAGGUAAUGGCUCACCAAGGCGACGACGGGUAGCCGGCCUGAGAGGGUGACCGGCCACACUGGGACUGAGACACGGCCCAGACUCCUACGGGAGGCAGCAGUGGGGAAUAUUGCACAAUGGGCGAAAGCCUGAUGCAGCAACGCCGCGUGAGGGAUGACGGCCUUCGGGUUGUAAACCUCUUUUAGUAGGGAAGAAGCGAAAGUGACGGUACCUGCAGAAAAAGCACCGGCUAACUACGUGCCAGCAGCCGCGGUAAUACGUAGGGUGCAAGCGUUGUCCGGAAUUAUUGGGCGUAAAGAGCUCGUAGGCGGUUUGUCGCGUCUGCUGUGAAAUCUGGGGGCUCAACCCCCAGCCUGCAGUGGGUACGGGCAGACUAGAGUGCGGUAGGGGAGAUUGGAAUUCCUGGUGUAGCGGUGGAAUGCGCAGAUAUCAGGAGGAACACCGAUGGCGAAGGCAGAUCUCUGGGCCGUAACUGACGCUGAGGAGCGAAAGCAUGGGGAGCGAACAGGAUUAGAUACCCUGGUAGUCCAUGCCGUAAACGUUGGGAACUAGAUGUGGGGGCCAUUCCACGGUCUCCGUGUCGCAGCUAACGCAUUAAGUUCCCCGCCUGGGGAGUACGGCCGCAAGGCUAAAACUCAAAGGAAUUGACGGGGGCCCGCACAAGCGGCGGAGCAUGCGGAUUAAUUCGAUGCAACGCGAAGAACCUUACCAAGGCUUGACAUAUACCGGAAACGUCCAGAGAUGGUCGCCCCGCAAGGUCGGUAUACAGGUGGUGCAUGGUUGUCGUCAGCUCGUGUCGUGAGAUGUUGGGUUAAGUCCCGCAACGAGCGCAACCCUCGUUCUAUGUUGCCAGCACGUUAUGGUGGGAACUCAUAGGAGACUGCCGGGGUCAACUCGGAGGAAGGUGGGGAUGACGUCAAAUCAUCAUGCCCCUUAUGUCUUGGGCUUCACGCAUGCUACAAUGGCCGGUACAAAGGGCUGCGAUACCGUAAGGUGGAGCGAAUCCCA
This 1029-nucleotide ribosomal RNA is filed under the name Frigoribacterium sp. PDD-58b-4. Its description in RNAcentral is "bacterial SSU rRNA". It matches the Rfam family "Bacterial small subunit ribosomal RNA", at positions 234 to 1276 of the family's 1533-position model. The record is from RNAcentral. Lineage: Bacteria; Bacillati; Actinomycetota; Actinomycetes; Micrococcales; Microbacteriaceae.